This 7849-nucleotide long non-coding RNA is filed under the name Glycine max (soybean). RNAcentral describes it as "long non-coding RNA (GMAX_LNC002889)". Lineage: Eukaryota; Viridiplantae; Streptophyta; Magnoliopsida; Fabales; Fabaceae. The record is from RNAcentral.
CUCAAUUUUCCGGUGAAGACGGUGAAAAAGUCUUUGCAAGAGAUUCAAUAUAGCUGCUGCAAUGGUUCUUCUCCUGCACUUGCACUCAAGGAGAGGCACUGCAUCCAAAGAAAGUUGUCAUCAAAAGCUAAAAUGUGUAGAGGGAAAGAGACAUCAUCAUCAGAGGAUUCAACACAAAGUGUGGUGGUGUUUGAGGACUUGGGAGUUGACUAUCUUGAGCAUCUUCUUAGCGUAUCAGAUCAAAGUGAAAGUACAAGCCCUAGCUACUUCAACUAAACCUUUGUUACUAUUUUUUUGUUUCUUUUUCCUUGUUGUGUGUGGCCUUCAUCAAUUUCAAGCUAGGGUAUGUGUAUGUAUUAAUUGUGUUCUCUCUUCAGUUGAGAACCUGAAUUAAUUCUUUCUCCCAAGCGAAUUUAUGUGGUUACAUAUGUCUCUCUAGGUUUCAUGUUGAAGUGCUCUGAAUCAAUUUUUGCACCAACAAUCGUCCGUCACCUGCACAACUGGUUCAUUUUCUUAUUCACAAUCCAUUUUCACAAUUUGAAUACUGAAUAGUGUCUUCCAAUAAAAAUUCUCAAGACAUGCCCAAAUGUGUAAAAGUUUAUGAGAAAUGCUAUGAUAUAUUGGAAAAUUCAAUAGUGUUGGUACUGUUAUUGAGAAAUUUUGUUCUUUCUCCCUCUCCAUUAGUAUGCUUAAACUGAUUCAACUAUUACAUAUUGGUUCAAAAAACAACUGUACUAAAGCUUUUAGGUUUCUCUGGGUACCAUAUCAACUCUCAAAGUUUUUACAUCACUCUUGCUACCUCUUUAUUGUAUAUGAACAGUCGCCUUAGCAAUGUAUUUUAGCAAAAAGAUUUAUUCAAAUCUAAAUAAGAAUACUCUAACCUAUAUUACAAGAGUUCGAGCAAACAGGAAAAUCAGAGAUGUUGUCUAAUACAAUCUAUAGGACUAACACACAAAUCUGAAAACAUAGAUCAAUUUUCCUUUACCCUUGUUAUUAAACGUGUCCAAGAUUCAUAGCCCAACAAAAUAAAAAUUACCCCAUUUGAACAUAAUUUUGUUCCGCUUCAAACUUAUCUUGACAUAUAUAAGUACUUUGUUUAACACGAAACCAUUCUUCAGACAUUUCUAUAAGUAAACUCUUACAUAAAAAGUCCUAUAUAAACAUAUUGUUUGAUAUAAAAUCAUAGGACAUCACUGAUACGAUUAAUGAAGGAUUUAGAUCAAGAUAGUAGAGUAAUUUACCAAGAAUUAUUAGGAAUCUUAAUUUCUUUGUUUUAUAUGUCACAUCUGGCUUGUCCCCCUUUCUAUACAUCUCAUCUGUGAUCAAUCAAAGCAAGUGAGGAUUUUACAACCACAGAAACCAGAAAACCUUUCAAAUUUCAAUAUAUGGGUAAGAUGGUAAGUGUAGUAAAUAAGCAAUAAAUACAAAGAAAUAUGGCUAAAUUCAUUGAAUGCACAUCAAGUGUAACAUAGGAAGCCAACUUGAAGUCCUAAGCUACUUGAAGAAAUGAAAAAUCUGUCACACAGACAACAUUGUGAAGAAUUUUGACUACACUUUUUAGACAGUGGGUGGUGAAUCCGGGUCUGUUUAUAUCUGCAUAAUUUUAAUGUAUGAGUUCGGGGUACUAUGGAUAGGGAACUGAACAAUGUACUGUGUGCUAGCCUGUUUAUAUCUGCAUAAUUUUAAUGUAUGAGUUCGAAUAAAUAUACAAUACCCAAAUAAUCUUUAUGGUAAAUUUCAAGAUCAAAACAAGAUAUCUAGCGCACCAUUAAUCCUCAAUAUUUGGAUUGGAAAAGACUAACUGCAAGUGGUACUCUCAACGCAUUGAUCAAACAUUGAUGAUAAGUCUUGUCAAUCAAAGGUUGUCUUUGGACACUCCAUUGCUUACAUGGAAAACUUAUAUGAUGAUUACUCCGGUCAAAUAAUGAUAGUCUUUAAACAUUUCAUUAUUUACAUGGAAAAGCAUACUAUUUAAAAUCACCACAUGUUUAUCAUCGCAAACAUGUAAUUAUUUUGUCAAAUUAUGUCUUCCUUUAGGUAGAGCAUAAUUCGCAUGAAUAAUUCCAUGCAACAUACAUGUAAAUUCAAUCAAAUCAACUUACGCAACAAAGAUUACUUUGACAACAUGUUGUUUCAAUCAAUUUAACCAAAAAAUACAAGACAAUUUAAUAUAAUAAAGGAGAGGUCUUAAAAUUACAUAACUUUCACAUAUAAUUUAAUUAUAUAAAAAUGUAUAUAACAAAACAUGCAACUAUUUUUUAGAACAGAUUCAUCAUAAGAUACCUAGCACAAUAUUAAUUCCUAGAGAAAUUAAUUUGUAAUUGGUACUCUCAAUGCAAUGAUCAAAUAUUAAUAAUAAAUUUUGUCAAAUAAUAGUCUUUCUUUGGACCGACUAUUAUUCACACGAAAAUACCUUAUAAUUGUCACACAUUUAUCAUCACAGGUACAAAAUAUUAUUUGGCCAAAUUUCGUCUUCCUUUGAGCCGAACACAAUUCGCAUAAAUAAUUUUAUACAAAAAUCUAUGUAAUUUUAAUCAAAUCAAUUUUCACAAUAGGGAUUACUUUGAUAAUAUAUCGUGUCAAUCAAUUUAAUUAGAAAAAUCACUAGAUAUGCAAAUAAAUGGGAAGAAUUUGCUACUACUAAAUUAACUUCAAAACAAACAAGAGCAAGAGAUUUUCUUUCUUUACACGUUAUGCAACAUAUCUUGUAUACUCUUUCUUCAUGUGUCUAGACUUUUUGUAGAAGUAGCAAGUAAAUUUUUCAUCUUUCUUUUGUUGAGAGCACCCUUAGUUUUUUUCCUUAUCCUCUCGCAAACAAUGAGAUACAAGAUCAUUAAUGGACCAUUUAUCCUUUUAAGUGUUAUAGUUCACUUUGAAUUGCUCAAAGUGUGCAGGGAAUGAGAUCAAACCUAAAUGCACGAGCAGGUCUUCACUUAGAUUAAGUGUUUUCAAUUUUGUUGUCAAAUUAGAAAUUUCAUUAUGUACUCCCUUGUAUAACGUCCCCUUUUUUUACCAAAAAAAUAAAUAAAAAAACAAAAAUUGCGCAAAAAACUUCCUUAUACAUAUUAUGAACCGUAGCAAGCCGUUCACAGAACCAAUAACGAUGUCAAAAAAUAAAAUACACUCGAAUUUAAAUCAAAUAUCCAAUAUGGCAAUAUCUGAAUUUACCGACAAUUAAUAUGUGUGUUCCCAAAAAAAAAAUGGGUUCAUAUAAACAAAGCAAUCCAGGUAUAAUUAGAAUCAAAUAACGUUAAAUCCUAAUAAUCUAACAGUAAUAGUGGCUCUGAUACCACUUGUUGAAAUUUUAGAAGAUUCUUGUAAAAUACCAAUAAUCACCAGGAACAACACAUUACGUUAGAUUAUUAAGAAGAAUUUUAGAAAUACAUGGAUCCAUAACGAUUGAUCAAACAAACCCAACGAAAUCUGAAUCCUUAGGUAAUCGGUGACUUCAUGGUUCUCCCUCAACCAAAACCUCUUUAGUCUUUAAUAGGACAUUCAUAACUCUUCAGAUGAUGAGGAGAAGAGAAACUAUAUAUGACGGCUCAGUAUAUUGGGGACCAUAACCUUCUUACAGUGUAUUAAUCUAAUAGGGUUCUCAUUAUCUCUUAAUGGGCCAACACUGAUAUAUACUCGUUUAAGUUCAUAUUAUUUGAUUUAAUUGUCUAACGGACUCACUUAAUUUGAUCACAUAAAAUAAAACUCACUAAUUAUAAAUAACUAAUAUAAUUAUCUUAUAAUAUUAAUCCUGGAAUAGAAAAUUCUAACAAUUGACAAAAAAGAUUAAUUUGAAACUAUUUAAAAUUAUUAGAGACUAAAAUAAAGCUUCUGAAAUGUAAAGGUCGGAUUGAACAAAAAAUAAAACAUUUAAGAACAAAUUAAGAUGUAUUUUAACUAUUCUUUUUUGCUGAUAAAAAAGAAAGGCACAUUAUGAUAUACCAUUUCUAAUAUAAAAAAAAAUUAACUAUAUAUACCAGGAAUACCCAGUAAAGUAUGAAAUUAAUCAAAUUAUACGACAACCGCCAACAAUAUUCCGAACUUAAAAUAACAAAAGUCGAAACAUCACACAAAAACAUGUGAAGUGGCGAUCCAUAAUUGACAAAGUGCAGCUAGCUAGUGUCCAUUAUCGACAAAAUAUAUUUUUUUCAUUACUUUUUGUAUAAAUCUUUAAAAAACUGAAUUGAAUAAAAUAUUUUUUUUUAUAAUUGUAUGUAAAAAUACAAGAUUGAAACAAAGUGUUUUCUCAGAUCAAACAGGUAGUAAAAAUAAAGUGUCUGAAACUAAAACUACGUAACAUCUAGCAAAGACACCACAUUCAAGCUAUUAAAUAAUAAUUGAGUAAAUGGCAUCAGUGCAAUGGGAACCAAUUAAAAAGUGUUCAUCUAUAUAAAUUUACCAUAAGCAGGACCAUUAGUAAUUCAAUACUUCUUAUUUUAUUUUUUUAAAAGCAAAGGAAAUUUCAUAAAAGAAAGAAAAAACUGAAUGGCAGCAUAACAAAUGCUGUUGUCCAGCAUAAGAAGUUCUGACAUAGAGAAUCUAUAGUUUAGGACAAGGAAACCAAAAUGCCCCUACCAACUAAUGGACACAUACAGUACAAAACUUGUGAAUGAGUAUCACAAUACUUAUAACUUUGAAAAUCAAUUAUACAUCACAAUUAUUGAUCGUACUUGUGAACAACAGGAUACACAACUUGCACUACUAAAAAAAAUACUUAUUUAUGACACAUAUUCUAAGACGGUUUUGCGGAAUCAUUUUAAAAUAUGAUGCGGUGAUAAUUUUAUAAUUAAAAAAAUAAAAAAUUAUUUUUUUACAACGUAGAUUUUAAGAUGAUGAUAAAGAAUCAUUUUAGAAUAUCACUCGGUGACAAUUCUCACAUUAUAUGGAAGAUGUUCAAGAAUGUAUUGUAUAUAUUAAUUGGAGAUGCUCUUAGUAACACUAGUGCCAUUGUUGUAGCAAGAGGAGAGAUCAAUUUUAGAUGGUUUACCUUUCAGCACAAUUGGAGAAGCAAAUCAUACAAGCUAGUAGCAAAGUUUGAAGACGUAAAAAUUAAAGAAGCAAUGUAGGAUCGAAUGUGAGGGAAGCAAGAGUCUUAAGCCGGAUGGAUACAACUUAAAGUUUUUCAAAUCAUUUUGGAAUAUUUUUAAGGACGAUAUUAUGAGGACUUAUUAUGUUUUAAGUCCCUUAAAUUAGGGAUUUUUUUGUUUAGUCUCUCAAAUAAAAAUUUACAUUAUUUAUUCCCUCAAAUUAAAAAAUAUAUAUAUUUUAGUCCUCUCUUCAAAUAAAAAAUUACAUUUUUUUAGCUCCUUAAAUUCUACCAAAGGGAUUAAAAAGAGUAUAUUUUGAAUUUGAUAAACUAAUGCAUUUUUUAAUUUGGAGGACUAAAAAAAUAGAUCUAAAUUUAAGGAACUAAAAACAUAAUUGAGUCUAUUAUGAAACUUAUGGAGAAGUCUCACCCAAAUAGGGUGUUACCCAAAGCUAGGAAACUCUUCAUUCGUCACUUUGAUACCCAAAAAAAUCCAAUUGAAUUAGGAGAAUAUGGAGCAAUAUAUAUCCCUAAUUGAGUGUAUGUACAAAAUCAUUACUAAGAUGUUAUCUAGGAGUUUAAGGGUGGUAAUGGAAAAUAAGGUAAUUGAUGAGAGAUCAUGCGCGUUUAUUGGGGGGAGGAAUCUCUUGGAUGGGGUACUUAUUGAGAACGAGGACAAAAGGAAGAAGAAAUCAUGUCUAAUAUUGAAGGUUCAUUAUGAAAAGAUAUGCAACUCAAUGUGUUGAUAAUUUCUGUACUACACGAUUAUUAGGUUGGACUUUUGUAGUAAAUAGAUUGAGUGGAUAAAAGGUACGUUUUAUUAAAACAUCAAUAUAUGUGUUGGUUAAUAGGAGUUCAACAGAAGAGUUGAGACAAAGGAUCUAAUUGUCCUUUAAUUUUCCUCGUUGUCAUAGCAACAGAAGGAAUAAUGGGGCUCAUGAAAUAAUUUGUAAGGCAUAAUAUCUUCCCAAUUUUCAAGGCAGGGAAGAUAUAGUCAUAUCUCUUCUACAAUUACAGAUGAUACAAUAUUUUUUUAGAAGAUUCGAUGCAGAAUGUGGUUGUUAUGAAGAGUAUCUAUGUUUUGGAGUUAGUGUUCAGGCUCAAGAUUAUAUAUAUAUAUAUAUAUAUAUAUAUAUAUAUAUAUAUAUGAGUUUAGAAGGAGGAAAGAAUGGUUUGAGUGGGAAAAAUCAAUGGUUGAAGAUUUCAUGCAGUUCAUUAAUAUCACCAAACACUUAAAGUCAAACAUGAUUAAAUAUAAGAUUCUUUUAAUUAAUUCAUAUUUUUUAAGAAAAUUUGUUAUUAUAGUUAAUAAUCAACAUUAAAUUUAUUAAUAAUUUGUAUUAUUUUACUAAAAUUAUUCUUAAAAUUAUUGAAACUCAUAAUCUCUUACUUUCAAUUAUUAUUUUUCUACCUAAUUAAUUAAUAUAUGUUAGUCUUUUAUCUAAUGAGAUCAGAUAAUGCAUUUAUCUUUUUUAGUACAUAAUAUUUAUUGUAAAGUAAUUAAGUAUAUUUGAAUAAAAAAGUAAUUAAAAAAACAACUUAAAGAGAGUUUUAUAAAAAUAGACAAAUAAAAUAGAAAAAAGAGUCAUAUAUAUUUAAGUUGGAAGGGAGUACAUAUUAAAGAUAAAAAUAAUUGAUUAAUUUGUAUGUAUUAAGUACGUUUACACCUCAUUGUUAUCUAUUUAAAAAACUAUGGCACAAUUGUUUUUUGAGGCAAAAGAAAUAUAUAUAUAUAUAUAUAACUCUUUACAAUGAGUUUUUGGUGAUUCGCUUAUUUACUUAAUUUAGAAACUAAAAAUAGUUCUAAUUUCAUAAGAUAACAUAACAUAAAAAAUUAUAAGAUUAAUUUGAUGGUUAAAGAGAAGAAAAAAAUUAUGAAUUUAAAUUCCUCCUAUUAACCUUUGCCGAUAAAAAAAAAAUAAGUUAGUUAAAAAAUUAAUAACUGCACAAGUGUUUAUUGUGAAGCUUAAUUUCUUGAUCCUUGUAUAUAUAUUGAGAGCAUGUGCACAAUAAUAAAGAAAAAAAAUACAAAUACUGUAAGACUCCAUCUUAUAUUCAAAUAACAUGAAGGUGAAUGUUUUCAGAAUAGUUUUGACAAUGAUUAAUUAUGAGAAGAAAUCUCUAUAAUUAAGGCGUCAAUAUGCCCAAUUUGGCAAGUUAUAAAUUCUAAGCCCAAGGUUUUCCUGAAUACGUGUUAUGACAUACAUAUAGUGGGGUGAUUUCUUAAAAACAAGGUAACAACACAAUCACUAAUCAGAUUGCAAAUAUUAUGGAUUAGUUAAUAAACUGAACUUCUCAUUCCUCUUGAUUAAUCGUGGCAUGUUAUCCCUAUAGAAAUGUCUUUCGGGGUUUAAGGGAACUAGAACAUGCUGAAGCAAAAAAAAUUAGAAGUAAAUCUUCAAGUUUGUUGAUUAGUACGCACUUACAUAUGUAUGUGUAUUCGGUUUGCUGCUGUGCUUGAAGUGCAGUUCCCAGUCAUUGUUUGUCUUCAUGACACAACGCCACUGCCAUUAUUAGCUUAAAGUUGAGACAAACAAACACUAAUUAACUAGUAAAGAAGACAUAGGAGUAGAUGACAAAUUAAAGACUAAAGAGACUGCAAUAUGAGAUUAGUGCUUACCAUUUUUACUCUGGUUAAAUUAUAUAUGCAUCAAUGUCAAAUGUGGAAACAGAUAUAGUAUAUCAUCUAGAGAAAAGAAAUAUGAAAUCCUCAUAUAUUGCUCAAGUUAGCAGCCACAUUCAGACAAAUUAAAUGUCAUUGCGAACCAAUUUAUAACAGGUGAUCUGACAUACACUAAUUGUGUAUGAAUUUGGAAGCAAGUGGUAAUU